Molecule: non-coding RNA, 1268 nt
Organism: Chrysemys picta bellii (western painted turtle)
Lineage: Eukaryota; Metazoa; Chordata; Testudines; Emydidae
Source: RefSeq, a predicted model, not a curated record
CGGCACCUGCUGGACGAGAGAGAGAGUCCAGGCAAGGCUGUGCCGGGGAUGGCAAAGGGCUUUGCUACAAAGAAAUCAACAUUUGUACCAAUCCCACAGCCAGAGCCCACCAGACCCUGCUCUGAUGUGCUCUGUCCUGCCCGGUGCUGCAGCGGCUCUCAUCAAGAGAUGAGACUGAGACCCGGGUCCCAUUGCGCCCGGCGCUGCACAGACCCUGACUGAGAUCUGAGGCCCCAUUACGCCGCGCACUGCACAGACCGCAGCUAAAAUCAGGGCCCCCUCGUGCCGGGCAUUGCACCCACCCCCCGAGAAACAGGCCCUGCCCUCACAAUCUAAAGAGGACAGGGAGGCCCAGAGGGGGAAGCGGCUCCCCCAGGCCCUGCAGCAGAGGCCAGAGGCGGAGUUGGGGAAUAGAACCCAGGAGUCCGGGCGCCCAGCCCAGCUUCGGAGAGCAACAGCGAUCGCUCCCCUGCGGGUCUUCUCCUCUGCGGCCUCUUCCAAAGAUCCCGGGUCUGCACCGCGCUGGAAAAUCCCCUGAGCUUCCCCGCUCGGCUCGGACCCCAGUGGAAAAGCCCGGCCGGGCAGCAGGACCCCCGGCUCGGGGGACAGAACAAGUCAAACGCACAGAAGAGGGAAGAGGAAAGAACAGCAAAGAUAGAAAAUGCAGUUCUGCCUCGCAUGCUGACUCUUACUUGUAACCCAGCUCUUGGAGAAACAGAAAAUGGAAAAGGUACUUGGUUGUAUUGCAAGGUUUACAAAUUCCUCAUCCCAAAAUUGGGAUUGUCAAAUCUUAUUUGAUUAGAUGACAUAUGAACUUUUCUCAUGUUAAUAAAGAUAAGAACUUACAACUCACUUUAUUUACCCCUAAAACAAUCUUAACAGUGCUGCUGUUCUCGGUCUUAAAAAGUUUAGAAACACACUAGCUCUUAUCAUAUUUUGACUGAAUGCCCAGAGUGGGUAAAGAUCGAAAAAAAUCUCCCAAUCCCAUCCCCCACCUCUUCCAUAUUUAAAGCUGCACGUCAUGAACCGUGAAAAUGUCAUGCACAAGUGGUUACAUUUCCUGACUUGCAAAAAUUUGAGCCUGUUAGCCAAAUGGGCUCGUUUCCCCCUGGAGCUGCCCAAUUACCCCAAGGAGGCACGGGAGUCUAGAAGACGGCUUCAAGUUCUUUAUUGUUCAGUCAGCUGAGCGGGUGUCCCCCUCGACUCAUGCCAGAGGGAGGAACACACCUUACAAGCGUAGAGCAAGCCUUUUUAUACCCAGUAACAAA